UAACCGCGUAGAGUUGUACGGUGAUGUACCUUCUGAUGUAAUAAAUGUGUAUCAGCCUCCUGGGACUGAUAUUUGUAUCACAUUUUAGUCACCUAUUAUGAGGGGACGCUUCACCGCGCCCCCGAGCCGUCGCCUGACCGCCGCCGUGGCGGCCCGUGUCCGCCCCUCCACUCCGCCUCGGAACCGCCCCUCCCCGAGUCCGCCCCCAUCGGCUCGGCCCGGUGUUCGCGCGGCGCGGCCACCACGGCAUGUCGCCACCAGUGCUGCCGUCGGCGCACGGUGCCACCCGGCCGAGGAGGAGCAGGCGGAGAGAGAGAGAGAGAGAGAGAUAGAGAGGAUGAGGAGGUGGAGGAGGGCCGCGUGCGCCGGCAUCCAAGGAGGACGACACUGCGCUGGUCGAGGGAGGAGUAGGUCACCACGUGCCGGCGUCUGAGGAGGAGGGCACCGCAGCGGUGGAGGGAGUAGGAGGAGGAACCCCCGCUUCCCACCGGCUCGCGUCACACGCCGCCGUCCGUGCUCUGCGUGCACCCGCGCUUCUGGAAUCGGUCACCACCACCUGGUUCCCGCCGCCUUCCUCCGUCACUGGGCCCCAGCCGCCAUCGACAUCGACUCGUCAGUUUGCAGGACAGCAAGGUGAGAGGCAUAUUAUUCGACCCUCAAUCCGUAUCAUAUUCGUAGAUCUCAACACUUAGUUAGACAUCUCCCGUUCGAAAGAGAUACGGUUGGAAAUAUGCAUAUUUUUACAUAUGUAUGAUCGUAUCUGUUUCAAAUUGUCCACGUUUUAUGUAGAUGGGUUUAGUUUGCAUGUUCUGCUCCGAUCUGAGACAGAGUUUCGGCAUCGCCUCCCUGUUGUUCUCCGAAUACACAAUCUCCAUGUCAGGACGUGUAUUCGGAGAAGAACGGGGAGGUGCUGUCAAAAUUUGUCUCGGAUAGGAGUAGAACAUGAAAACUAACCCCAUCUACAGAUACUCGGGUGGGAUUAGGACCUAUCUUCACCUAUUAGAGCAUGAUAGAUAUCAUGUACAUGCAAUUGAUUUAUAUGUCUUGGUAAUAUAUUAAAGAUAGGAUGGAUGUCCGUGACUAGAUGUACACAGGCUAGUUCGGUAAACGUGGCUGGACAGAUGAAUUCGUUCAGAAGGUUGAAGAUUUUCUGAAAAAAAGCUUUUGGGCAAGAACAGAGUAAAGCUCCGUGUCCAUGCCAUCAGUGUGCAAACAAGAUAUUUCAAUCACAGUUCAAUAUGGGUAAACACAUUUGCACCAAUGGGUUUGUGGCAAACUAUACCCAGUGGAUCUGUCACGGUGAAGCCCAUCGUGCGAGAGACGAGGUCGUGAGAUAACGUAUCGAGAAUUAUGAUGCUGAUGCUGGGUGUGGAGACAUGUUAGAUGAUUUUCAUCAAGCUCAGUUCAAUGAAGGACCUAGCCAGGUUAGGGAGGAUCCACCAGAGGCAACUGCAAAGGCCUAUUACGAUAUGUUGUCUUCGGCACAAAAACCAUUUCACGGUCAUACUGAUGUUUCUCAACUAGAUGCCAUCGGACGUAUAAUGGCCCUAAAGUCUCAGCUUGGCAUCAAUCGAGAUGGGUUUGAUGAUAUGUUGACAAUUUUUAGCAGCCUGCUUCCGGCUUGUCACAAUUUGCCACGCAACUUGUAUGAGGCACAAAAACUACUUCGUGCACUUAAGAUGCCUUACGAGCAGAUACAUGCUUGUCCGAAUGGAUGCAUCUUGUUUAGGAAAGACCAAGCUGAUGCAAAGUACUGCCCUAAAUGUAAAUCCUCUAGGUACCUGGAGGUCUACUCAAGUGAUGGUCAAAAGAGGCAACUCGAAAUCCCCAUGAAAAUCCUACGGUACCUUCCAUUCAUACCGAGGAUCCAACGGCUUUACAUGACUGAGGAAUCCGCUAAACAGAUGACAUGGCACAAAGAAGGCAAACAAUAGCAUCCGGAGAACAUGGUACAUCUAGCCGAUGCUGAAGCAUGGAAGUAUUUUGACGGGCGUCAUAGUGAGAAAGCUGGGGAGUCUCAUAAUGUACGUGUUGCAUUGGCAAUAGAUGGGUUCAAUCCUUAUGGAAUGACGGCUGCCCCCACUAUAACAAAACAGCCAUGGAGAUACGUUUUAUUCAUAGCCUAGAUGCGUUUUAUUUCAUCUUUAAUGUAGUGUAGAUGCGCUUUGCUAAAACGUGUCUAGAGCGUUGCCACACGGACCGUGUCAAGAAACGUAGAUACGUUUUGCUAAGCGUAUCAAAAAGACAUGACAUGCUUUUCUAGAGACGGUGAAUGACGUUUCGAUUCAGGGGAUGUAGAUACGCUUUAUUUUUUUCUCCCUUUUUUAGUCUUGUGCUUUUCUUUUUCGUUUUCCUUUUGAUCAUAUUAGUUUAUAAAGUCAUGUAGGACAUUCCUUUGCCAUAUUUUUUUCCUCAUUUAUGCAGAAUCAUAUUUCACUUUAAUUUGGUCAUAAAGUACAUGCUAGGGAAACCACGUCUGGCCUGAGCAAGUAUUCAUUUAAUAUUAAAGCUCCUCUCAACAAACCAAUCGAUCAUCCAUAUACAAUAUGAUGAUCUCACAUAUAUACUGCCCUAAAAUUUAUAGAUUUAGAAUCUAUCAAAAACAUUUCAUGUAUGCAGAUACUUGUAUUUCACUUCUCCACAUUGCUUCAUUCGGCAGAUUUUCUGUAUGGACUUUCGUGAUCCUGGAGAUUAAAUAAAUAAAUUCAUUGUUAUAUGGUAUGAAAAUGUGAGCACAGAUUUAAAAUGAUGUAACUACAAAAAUAUCCAAUUGGAGAUAAAAGUAAAGUUAUUUUCCUCUUAAAUAAUCAUGAAAAAACUUAGCAAGGAAUCAACGUGUGAACAAAAUUCUGUCAAGUCUUAUUCAGAAAAAUCAUCAUUAUUUAUACUAGGACAAGUGUAGUUAAUUUGUACUACCAGACUAUUAUCUUUCAAGGUCAAAUAUUCUAUGACAUCACUAUUGACGAAAAAGGCUUCUCUGUAAAAACCUAUAUUGAGAAAUCACAUAGUAAUCUACAUGAUGAUUAUAGAUACCACAGUAGUACAAAACUGUAAUGCUGAAAGAUAUAUGACUUUUUUAUGCGCAGAACAUAUCUACACGGCUAAUCUAUUGUAGUGCCCAUAUACUUGUUGGCCCGUGUUCGUUAUCCCCCUCAAUCCCCCCCUGGAGUCAUGUUUCAACGACAGAAUAUAUUCUUGUCGUUGAUAAUUCCUGGAUACUCGGGGGAUAAUAUGUGUGUGUAUAUGGAGCCUCUGGUUGAUGAUUUGUUCCGUGCUUGGGAGAAAGGUGUAUGGACAUACGAUCGAGCUAUAAAGACAAACUUCAAUAUGCGAAUGUGGUACAUGUACUCCCUGCAUGACUUGCCGGCAUACGGGCUAUUCUACGGCUGGUGUGUCCACAGAAAGUUUCCAUGCCCAGUAUGCAAGGCAACUCUCAAGUUCUUAUGGUUGGCGAAGGGUGGCAAGUAUUCUUCGUUUGAUUUGCAUCGACAAUUUCUCCCUAUUGACCAUCCAUUGAGACGAGACAUCAGAAACUUUACAAAAGGUCUCGUGGUUGAAGACCCUCCACCCCAGAUGUUAACUAGUGCUGCGAUUCGUGCGCAGUUAGAUGCGCUCAGGGUAAAGAAAGAAGGUGGCUUUGAGUGAUAUGGUGUGGAACAUGCCUGGACUUAGAAGUCAGGUUUGUGGUCCCUAUAUGGAUGAUCUUUUGCUUCCACACAAUAUUGAUAUGAUGUACACGGAAAAAAAUAUCGGUGAGGCACUCUUUGGUACAGUAAUGAAUAUUUCUGAUAAGACAAAGGAUAACGUUAAGGCUAGAGUGGAUCAAGCUAGGUUAUGCAAUAGACCAAAACUCAACAUUCCGCCUCCCAAAGACGGGAAGAAAUGGAAAAAGCCUCUAGCCGAAUUCAUCCUGAAGAAGCACCAGACAAAGGAAGUACUAGAAUGGUUUCAAACUUUAAUGUUUCCCGAUGGGUAUGCAGCGAAUUUGAGGAGGGAGGUGAACUUAACUACAAUGCGAAUCAAUGGGCUCAAGAGUCAUGACUACCAUAUAUGGAUUGAGCGGCUUCUUCCGGUGAUGGUUCGAGGCUAUUUCCCUGACAAUGUGUGGCGAGUGCUGGUAGAGUUAAGCAAUUUCUUCCGCAUCCUUUGUGCUAAGGAGUUAUCUCGUACUGUAGUUGCAGAAAUGGAACAAUUGGCUCAUGUAUUGCUUUGUAAAUUGGAGAAGAUCUUUCCACUAGGCUUUUUCAAUCCCAUGCAGCAUAUGAUUUUGCACCUUCCGUAUGAGGCACGAAUGGGGGGGGGCUGUGCAGGGCCGUUGGUGCUAUGCAAUUGAGAGACAACAAAAGGUUCUUUGAACCAAAUGUAAAAACAAAUGCAAAAUUGAUGCUUCCAUUGCUGAGGCGUAUUGUGUUGAGGACAUGUCAAACUUCACAACAAAAUACUAUGCAGAGGCCCUGCCUAACGUGCAUAAUCCAUGCCGUUGUUACAAUGCCGACGAAAAUGAAUUGAACCUCAGCCUCUUCAGAGGGCAACUCGGAAGUGCAAGUGGUGCGACUCCUAAGACCUUGCAACAUUAAGAGUUGCGCACUAUCAUGAUGUAUGUGUUGACCAAUCUUUCCGAAAUGGAGCCAUACAUUAAGUAAGUUCUCAACAAACUAUUCUCGAUUAUUUGUAGCGUAUCAUCAAUAUUCUGCAUCCAACCCUCUCGAUUUUGUUCUCGUUCGUACAUAGAAUUUACUCAUCAAUUCUGGCGGGGGAAAAGGGCAGCGACCCCGCAGCAAGUUGAUACCCUUCUUAAAAAGGGUGUAGGACGUGGAUCGCCUGAUUACAUUUCUUGGUUCAAGCAAAAGGGUCAAAACGAUGUGUAUAUGAUUCCCGAGUUGAUGCAGUUGCCGAUGGUUGUGCCUAUAAGGUCAUGUCAUACUCCGGCUAUGACGUCAAUGGAUUUCGCUUUCACACCAAAAGGCACGAGCAGAGCCGGCCCGAUCGAAGAACCAUAAAUUCCGGAGUUUGUACGACAGCUCAUGAUGGGGUCGAGUAUUAUGGAAGAAUUGAAGAAAUAUACGAACUAACGUUUCAUGGUUGCAAACCUCUUAUACCCGUCAUAUUCAAAUGCUAUUGGUUUGAUCCCAAUGAAGUGCGAAGGACCCCUAAUCUUGGACUAGUCAAAAUUCAGCAGUCAUCCGUCUAUCCAGGAGAUGAUGUAUAUAUUGUGUCACAACAAGCCACACAAGUUUAUUAUCUCUCAUACCCGUGCAAAACCGAUGUACGUCUUAGGGGUUGGGACGUCGUGUACCAGGUAUCACCACACGGUAAACUACAUGUCCCAAACAAUGAAGAUUACAACAUAGACCCCAAUACAUAUGAUGACGAAUUCUUUCAAGAAGAUGGGUUAUAAGGGCGUUUUGAGAUAGACUUAACUGGAUUGAUCGGAAUGGAAGUAGACGAUGAUGAAAUGGUUGAGGAUGAGGACGCUGGAGAUGAGGUUUAUAAUGCGAAAGACUUAGAAUUACUUGAGCAAUUACAAUUAGGGGUUGACACUGACAUUGCACCUAUGGACCACGGGCCAGAGUAUCUCGACAGUGGCCCGCCCUUACGCUCACGGCUAUCCGCGGUAGAGCUCCGAGUACAGGAACUUGAGGCCCAGAUGGCGACGCAAUCAGUAGCACACGAGGCGGCGAUAGCUGAGGAGAGACGGAUACGCGAGGAGGAGGCGAGGAGUGCGCAGGCCGAGGAUCAGCAGCAGAUGGCCCAGAUGUACUCUUUCAUUCAUGGUCUUUCGGUUCAGAUGGGUCAACAACUACCACCGAUGGCCCGCUGAUUGCGGCUCCAGCACCGACAACUCCUCCUGUGUGCCACUUCACAACCUUGUUACUUUCAUUUCAACUAUUAGAGACCUAGAGAAUGUA
This is a long non-coding RNA of Panicum virgatum (switchgrass), 5909 nucleotides long. RefSeq lists it as uncharacterized. The record is from RefSeq and is a predicted model, not a curated record. The transcript has 4 exons. NCBI's taxonomy places the organism in Eukaryota, Viridiplantae, Streptophyta, Magnoliopsida, Poales, Poaceae.